CUGUGUCUCUGCCUCUCUCUCUCUCUCUCUGUGACUAUCACAAAAAAAAAAAAAAAAAAAAAAAUGAAUGAAUGAAUGACCAAAACUCCAAGUUUCCCAGCCUAUCCCCACCCCUCCAAAAGGCUGCCUCCAGAGCAAGGGAGUAGGGGUGGCUAGCAGCCCCUCCUGCCCAGGGCUGGGUGUCCUUCCCCACUCACUGCUCCCCACCCUGCCCCAUUCGGGUCAAUACAGUCUGCGGACCACGUGUGGCACACAGGACUUCAUACCUUCCCACUUACAGACCUUCUUUGCCAAAAUCCAUAUCCAUCUUUCAGGAUUUGCUUCGUGGGGCCUCCCCAUGAUCCCAACCCACUGUGAACUCUUCUUUGCACCUGGUUCAUAUUGAGUUGGUAAUCAAUUAAAAGCUUAAUGUCCUUCCUGAAAUCAUUAGAGGCGGAAGAACAGGUUGUCUGGGAUUUGCUUCGAAAGUCAUCCAGGGCUGGGGGCAGAGGGCAGGGCAUUACGAGAAGCUGAAUUGGCCGUAGGUAGUUGGCAGGUGGGUACAUGUGGGCUCAUCACACAGGGCUCCCUACUUUUGCUUCGUUGGACACUUUCACAGUAAAAAUCUGAAAAUAACUAGUGUCACAAAGGCGGCUAAGGACAGAGCCAAGAUUGGACUCCAUAUUUUAAGAUCAGUGCCCUCCCUGCCUGCUAUUGUUUUUAAUGAAUUAUUUCAUAGUUGCUGUUCCUGCUUUUUUCACUGUAUCCAAAAUUGUAUUCAUUAUUCAUGUGACAUGAAAGGCCGGUUGCUCUCCUCAAAGAGCAGGCGGUGUAACUGGGGACACAGGUAAACAGAUAAAUCACAGUGGAAAUAGUGAGUGUAACAGCCAAGAUAGGAAUCCGAGUGGAAGCGAACAGUUUUCAGGGGGGAGAGGGGGAGGGAACAGACCAAUUACGCCUGCUUCAGGGGCCCAAACAUGAAGCCCAGCCAGGAGGUGGUGUCCCAGGUGGAGCUCAAGAGCCAAGCAGGGUUAUUUUCGGUUAAAGAGUUUGGAAGCAGAGGCAAAACUCAGGAAGGGGCAAUGGUGCAGACUUGCAGAGGCCAGGAGUUUAGGGCACAGAGUGCAAGGGGUGGUGGACUCACUGACUUGCAGAGCCCACGCCCUGUGGAUGGCCAGGUAAGAUUAUCAUACUUAAUGACCUGCGGGCAGGCGCCACCUGGUCUCAAGCCUAUUCACUCACUCACUCACUCACUCACUCACUCACUCACUCACUCAUACAUUCCACCACCUUCAUCUGAAUCCUAAUACUCCUUCAAAUUCCUAGCAAUACCACCCCCUCCCCCGACUUCAAGGGAGGCCCUCAGAGCUGCCAGUGCUCCUGAGAAGACCAUGCUCCCCACCCCAACCCCAGUGCACAUCUCCUGAGCCCAAAGACCCUUAGGUGGUCUAUUAGUCUCUCCUGUGGCUGCGGUAACAAGAGUCCUAUAGACUGCAGGGCUCAAAGCAACAGAAAUGAACUCUCCCAAAAUUCUGGAGGCUCAAAAUCCACAUUCGGAAGUCAUACUUCCCUGAAGGCUUUAGGGAAGAAUCCUUCCUCUCCUCUUCCAGCUUCUGCCCCCCCCCCCCGCCCCCCCCCGCCCCGCAUCCGUUGGCUUGUGGCUGUAUCCCUCCAAUUUCUGCCUGUGUCUUCUCCUAUAGUCACUGGAUUUCAACCCAGGAUGAUUUCAUCUCAAGAUCCUUAACCAAUUAUACCUACAAAGACCCUAUUUCCAAAUAAGGUCUCAUUCAGAGGUUCCAGGUGGAUGUGAAUUUUGAGGGGACACUAUUCAACCCACUACUGAUUUCCUAUCUUCCCAAAAAAGCUGUCAGGGCAAAUCCCCUUUGCCUCAGCAUCCACAAAAAUCCAAGAAUCCCUGGUACCUCUGACUUUUACCCCUGUUCCCACUGUUACCUCAACUUUCCACAUAGCAAACAGAGUAUCUAAAUAAUUAUAUAAAGCUAAAUAUAUAAU
Molecule: long non-coding RNA, 1992 nt
Filed under: Canis lupus dingo (dingo)
Lineage: Eukaryota; Metazoa; Chordata; Mammalia; Carnivora; Canidae
Description: lncRNA (ENSCAFG00020026231.1)
Source: RNAcentral